UCUAAGGGCAGGUCCCCCACAUCAGGCCCCAUCCAGACCUAAGCCGAGGGACAGUUGGCUGGCUCCAGGCGGGGGCCUGAGCCUGGACUGAGGGCUUUCGCGGAAGGCUGCGGGGAGAGAAGGGGGAGGGGGUCUCGGCCCACAUCCCGCCCCCAAGAAGACACCUGACCUGUCUCCAAGUUGCGGGCCGGGCCCGUGGUGAGAGGGGCCUUUGUGCGCAUGGAGGAGGCUGCCUGGAACCCGGAGCCCUGAGCCGACUGGCUGCACCGCCCCGCGCCCUUCACUGCAAGCUGGGGAGCUUGCAAAUAAAGCCACAAACACAAAAUCUUGUGUGCCGGAGAGAGACUGCGGCGUGGGCAUCGGCGGAGAGCAGGUGCGGGGACCGGUGACGCUGGGCCCGCGCAGGAGCCGGGCAGCAGAACCCAGCUGGAACGGAGUCCAGGACACAGAGGAGGUUCUUGAUGACAGGAGACAGGAAGGUAGGCCCCACGGCCAUCACACACGAGUAGUCUUUCCUCCUCUGUGCUGGAGAGUGAGCCCAGGCACGGUCACUCGUAACUGUCCUUGAAGCAGUGGGGGUGGGUGAGCACAACGAAGACGAUGCAGAACAACACGGCUGUGCCGCUGGGCAGUCCCUCAGAAAGCCCGAAAGCCAGGCUCUGUGC
This is a long non-coding RNA of Hyaena hyaena (striped hyena), 665 nucleotides long. RefSeq lists it as uncharacterized. NCBI's taxonomy places the organism in Eukaryota, Metazoa, Chordata, Mammalia, Carnivora, Hyaenidae. The record is from RefSeq and is a predicted model, not a curated record. The transcript has 4 exons.